GAUGAACGCUGGCGGCGUGCCUAAUACAUGCAAGUCGAGCGAACAGAUGAGGAGCUUGCUCCUCUGACGUUAGCGGCGGACGGGUGAGUAACACGUGGAUAACCUACCUAUAAGACUGGGAUAAUUUCGGGAAACCGGAGCUAAUACCGGAUAAUAUAUUGAACCGCAUGGUUCAAUAGUGAAAGACGGUUUUGCUGUCACUUAUCGAUGGAUACGCGCUGCAUUAGCUAGUUGGUAAGGUAACGGCUUACCAAGGCAACGAUGCGUAGCCGACCUGAGAGGGUGAUCGGCCACACUUGAACUGAGACACGGUCCAGACGCCUACGGGAGGCAGCAGUAGGGAAUCUUCCGCAAUGGGCGAAAGCCUGACGGAGCAACGCCGCGUGAGUGAUGAAGGUCUUCGGAGCGUAAAACUCUGUUAUUAGGGAAGAACAAAUGUGUAAGUAACUAUGCACGGCUUGACGGUACCUAAUCAGAAGACCACGGCUAACUACGUG
RNAcentral lists this ribosomal RNA (497 nucleotides) under uncultured bacterium. Its description in RNAcentral is "partial 16S ribosomal RNA". It matches the Rfam family "Bacterial small subunit ribosomal RNA", at positions 28 to 507 of the family's 1533-position model. The record is from RNAcentral.